UCCCUGGAGGACUAUUGGUUAGGCCUCGGCACUCUCACUGCCAUGGCCUGAGUUCGAUUCCUGGCCGUGGAA
Non-coding RNA from Pangasianodon gigas (Mekong giant catfish), 72 nucleotides. The record is from the annotation of a GenBank genome assembly. Lineage: Eukaryota; Metazoa; Chordata; Actinopteri; Siluriformes; Pangasiidae.